This 253-nucleotide ribosomal RNA is filed under the name uncultured bacterium. RNAcentral's name for it is "partial 16S ribosomal RNA". It matches the Rfam family "Bacterial small subunit ribosomal RNA", at positions 524 to 776 of the family's 1533-position model. The record is from RNAcentral.
UACAGAGGUCUCAACCGUUGUUCGGAUUCAUUGGGCGUAAAGGGUGCGUAGGCGGUCGGGUAAGUCGGAUGUGAAAUCCCAGGGCUCAACCCUGGAACUGCAUUCGAUACUGCCUGGCUAGGGUACUGGAGAGGAGACUGGAAUUUACGGUGUAGCAGUGAAAUGCGUAGAUAUCGUAAGGAACACCAAUUGCGAAGGCAGCUCGCUGGGACGUUACUGACGCUGAGACGCGAAAGCGUGGGGAGCAAACAGG